Long non-coding RNA from Xiphophorus hellerii (green swordtail), 965 nucleotides. RefSeq lists it as uncharacterized. The transcript has 2 exons. The record is from RefSeq and is a predicted model, not a curated record. Lineage: Eukaryota; Metazoa; Chordata; Actinopteri; Cyprinodontiformes; Poeciliidae.
UCUCACUUGUAUUUUAUAAGUGCCAUAUAAAAUUUGUUAUCUCAAUAUUACUUGUGUCAAAUAUAAUUUUUCUCAUAAUUUGUUUGGAAAAUGUCUUUUUUGUAGGCAGUGAAAAAAAUACAGGCUCAACUGCUGUCAAUUAGUUUUAUUUGCAAGUUGGGUAAAAAUCUAAACUGUGCCAAAUCAGUCCCAUUAUGUCCUAACAAAUUGCUCACCCAUCCCUUUAUUUGUUCUUCAGUUUGACAUCUUUCUGUGUAUUUCUUGUAAGGGGAAACAUCCUGAACCUGUCGGCGACGUGGUGGUGCGGAAGCCCAAAGCUAUGGGGAAAAGAUAUCUGCACUCCACACUUUACAGAGCUUACACAGGACCAGAUCCCGACAAUCUGGCAUCAGGAGAAAAACUACGCCAGCUGCAGUCCCAACCACUUAUGGCUCUAGGUCUUUCAAAUUUGGAGCUGGUUCCAUCCAAAUUUGGGCCUGUGCCACAGGGCUCACCAAUGUCUUAUCAGUGCCCACCUGAGAAGUCAUCUGGUACAUCAUUUUGCACCACAUGGCUCCAGACUUUCCUUUUCUCCCUUUGAUGCUGCAUAGUCUUUCAAAUAUGUGUUUUGUGCCCACACUCGGUCAACUUAUGCAUCUUCAGUCUCUGCAAGUGUCACUGGAAAUGUCUUAUGAAAUAGAGGCUACAACAAGAGAGCAUAUAUAAGAAUAAGAAUUAUUUUCUGUAUUCCGGCUAACAGAAUGCUUGUGGACAGAAUUAAUUUGUAAAAAAUUGAAUUUUUCUACAACCUCUUUAAAUUUAAGACCACAUUGUUGUGCCACUGUUCAGGUGUACUUUUGAAGUGAACAUGUUAAGUGCAAUUUGAAAUAUGAAAUAUAAAAUAUGAUAAAAAAAUAUAAAUUUUUGUGUUUAUUUGAUUCCUAUUCAAUACACUUUGAUAAGAAUGACUAUAUAUUUAAUAUAGG